Canis lupus familiaris (dog) is the source of this 350-nucleotide long non-coding RNA. RefSeq lists it as uncharacterized. Lineage: Eukaryota; Metazoa; Chordata; Mammalia; Carnivora; Canidae. The record is from RefSeq and is a predicted model, not a curated record. The transcript is spliced from 3 exons.
GGUAAGGAAUGAUUUUUGCUCCUCCCCUCAUUAACGGGGAGCAGGAUCCAGCUAUGUAGAAGAAUGUACUAUAGUUGGUAGUAUGAUACACCUGCGUGCUAGGUGCUGUGGCAGGGGCCAGGUGAGUGGCGUAAUUCUCCUUGGGGCUGGGAGGCCAAGGGAGAGGCAGUGACAUCUGAACCGGGCUUUGGAGUGCAGCCAUCUGCCAGCGGAGAGAGAAGAAUGAUUGUCCCUGGCUGUUGCUGGAGAGAAGAGACAUCCUGAGGCUGACAUGUGGACGUGAGCUCACCAGACAGGCAGAUCUUCUAUAAUUUCUCUCAGCAAUGGGACGCCUGGGUGACUCAGCAGUU